Molecule: long non-coding RNA, 777 nt
Organism: Drosophila obscura
Lineage: Eukaryota; Metazoa; Arthropoda; Insecta; Diptera; Drosophilidae
Exons: 3
Source: RefSeq, a predicted model, not a curated record
CAGAUCAUUAUACCAAAGUAUGUUUUGCAAAACAGAAAUAUCAACGUAAAGUCAAGACGAAACUAGUCUCCCAAAACGACCACGUACGUGUCCCGUGCGACGAAGGCUGCUGGGCGCCAUUUAUUGUAUUAUUUUAGUGGAAUUUUUAAUACUGCCCCAAUGGCGCCAUCACUGCCAUGCAAUUAGUGGCGCAAUUUGAUUUCGACCAAUGUCGGGACGGGAGACUCCGAAACGAGAUGAUCUAACCUGGCGAAAUUCCAAAGCAACUUCUUCAUGAAAUUUCGUUGUUGUAUUACGAUUUUAGCUUCAAUAUGCGGAAAUAUGGAAACGAGUUUCUGCAAAAGACAGGAACAAUGCUUCGGUAUGGGAUGAGGAAUUGUUGUAUGCGAUUCUGCGGAAUUUCCGAAGCUAUCCCGUGAACCUAUAUCGCUCUCUCUCUCUCUUUCCUUACAAGAUGCGUCAGCAGAAAUAUAAGCUGUGACCGGAAGUCGGGAGAUUGAAGUCAUGGUUAAGUCAUUUCAAAAGCAAAUAAGUACAAAUUAACAACAUCAAUACAGUCAAUUUUAAAACCCUUCACAUUACUAAGCGUAAAUUUUAGGGCUAAAUAGGAUAUAGAAUGAGAAUUUUAGAAAAUAGUUGAGACGAAAGAGAUUUAAUGGAUUUUGUUACCGACUUUAAUGCAAUUAUCGUUUGGUUGAAUCACACAUAAUAACUCGAACAAGCAAAGAAAAUAAAUGUGUCCGCGGGACAAUUUUGUCCGGCUCAUCAUCGGUGUUU